This is a regulatory RNA element of Peptostreptococcaceae bacterium oral taxon 113, 79 nucleotides long. It matches the Rfam family "S10-Clostridia ribosomal protein leader". NCBI's taxonomy places the organism in Bacteria, Bacillati, Bacillota, Clostridia, Peptostreptococcales, Peptostreptococcaceae. The record is from Rfam.
ACACCGCGAUGAAACGGGAGGUUGCCGCCAUUUUGGCAGGAAAUUUCCGUGGAGUAUGUCCAAACUUGGAUUUGGGCGU